Molecule: long non-coding RNA, 20440 nt
Filed under: Gossypium raimondii (Peruvian cotton)
Lineage: Eukaryota; Viridiplantae; Streptophyta; Magnoliopsida; Malvales; Malvaceae
Description: long non-coding RNA (GRAI_LNC006109)
Source: RNAcentral
GUUUGGCCAAUAAAAGACCCGACAGGAUUUAAGGUUUAAUAGUAAAAGAAGCCAUUUAUUAACACAAAGUUGAAAGAAAGCAGGCAAGGUGGAAUUUCUAAAUAUAAGCUUCAAUGACAGAUUGAACAGCAUGAAUGGGUUUUACAUCGAUUCUGGUGAAUCCAGCCUCUCCAAGAACAUACGUCCAUUCCUUUAAGGUCCUUUCUUUGCCUUUGUUCGUAUGUGUCAUCAUCACCAUGUCCAACAUCAACCCCACAAAUUCUAGCUUGUCAUUUUCAUCUUCUUCAAGCACAGAUUCAACAAUUAUGACCUUCCCUUUGUCUUGUGGGAUGGCUUCUCUACAUUUCUUUAGGAUUUGUAUGCAUUCCUCAUCACCCCAGUCAUGCAACACCCACUGCAAUUCACAAAUAGAUAGAUUUGUCAUACUCAAAUGUAAUUGGUAAAGGAAACAAAGUUUUCAUUACUAACCAUAAAGAAAGCAGCGUCUGCCUUUGGGACGCACUCGAACAUGUCCCCUCCAACGUAUUCGAUGCCAUCGACUUUUGGGGCAACGGCAACAACACGGGGAAGAUCGAAGUCGAUGCCAUGAAUCCAAGGGAAUGCCUUUACCAACAUAGAUAAAGCAGUCCCAUUGCCUCCACCAACAUCAACCAAACUUUUAAUACCGUCAAACACUUGAGGACAUCCUUCGAUUAUGGCCCGCACUGCCACUCUAGCAUCACAAGCCAUUGCUUCGUCUAUGAGUUUGCUAUGUCCAGGGUUCUCCUCUGCAUAGCUCCAUACAUCCUUUCCGUGUGCUGUCUCAAACGGUGAAUUCCCACUGUCAAGGACACGAGCACUUAGACUAUGCCAUGGUGCUAACGUAACAGGGCUGCUCUGUAGUAGAAUCAUAGCCGCCAUGCUCCUUUCGCCAUGUCGACUCAAUCGACGAGACAAAGGCGUCAGUGCAAAACCAAUGGAAUCUUUAGUUAUGGGCUCCUCUUUGAAUAUUUGGUAGUGGACCAAGAACCUCAUAAUACGAUAAAGACGAGAUGGUUGACACUUGAGGGUAGUGGUUAGCUGAGAGAGUGUCAUGGGGCUUCCAUGCUUGUCAAUUGCAUCAGCAAUCCCAAGCUCAAUGGCACAUUUAACUACUGCUAUCUUAGCAUAACCAAAUACAUAAUUCCAAAUCUCUACUUCUGCUUUCUCAUCUUCAUCUUCUUUCUUUCCUCUCACUUUUAUAUCCCCCAUCUCAGUGCUUCUCUCUUUGAAAACUUGGAAAACCCCAAACCGAAAUCUUGAUGGACAAAGCCUUUGUUGAAGCUCCAUUAUAUAGGGGCAAUAAAUCAUUUCUAACAAGGAUAAAUUUAGAUUUCCUAUAAAAUGCUUUUGGUAAUAUAAUAUUUUCUUUAAGAUCUUAUAAGAUCUAAUGACGGGCCAUUACUUGCCAUUAUAUAUAAAGAAUUGUCGAGUUUACUAUCGUUUUGUGAUAAUCAUAAUUCACACGUUGGAAUAUUACUGUCUAUUACCCCCACACACAUUAAUGGUUAAAUAAAUGGAUUAUAAAAACAGUCAUGUUUAUGAUGUGUUAAUGCAACUGCCUGUUUCUCCGAAUGUUAAAUGUGGGAUUUAGUGUAUUACACCUUAACCUUAUAUGCCUUUGCUUUUUGUUGAAUACAUUUCACUUAUUUUAUCUUUUUUCAUUCUCAAAAGAUUCAAAUCCAAGUAAAAAUGCUAAAAGUCAAGAAAAAAAAUCUGAUUUGUCAUUAUCUUAUUAAAAAUAAAUAGGAAUGAGGUAGAAAAUUAUUAUUUUCAGGGUUGAUUCAUUAGACAAUGUCCGUACUAUCUGCUAAUAUUACGGGGGUACAGCAUGGCUAAAGUAUAGAGAUGAAAUUAAAACUUUUAGUUAUCAAUGUUAACCACUGUUUGAAAAUUGAUAGAAGUGUUGAUCGGGAUUUUUUUAUUGGUCUAAUAACAAAUUUAGUUUUCUAAUGUUUACAUAUUCUAUCAAUUUAAAAAUAAAUUUAAUAAAUUUAGCUCUCAAUAUUUACAAAAAAAUAUUAUUUUAGUUCAAAUUCUAAAAAGUUCAAUGAAUUUAGCCCUUAAUAUUUACAAAAUGACAAAUUUUAUGUCUUUUUUAGCCAUUGAACUAACAUCGUUUGUCAAAGCACCCCUAAAUAAAUGGAAAAAUUAAUAUUUGUUAAUUUUGCUAAUGUGACAAUCCACGUACAUGCCACGCCAUCAAUUAUUUAAAAAAUAAAAAAAACUUUAAAAAUGUAGAAACAUAUAGAAAAUUAUUUAAAAAUUCAAAAAAUAUUUAAAAUUCACAUAUAUAAAUUAUUAAAAGGGUAAAUUACCAAAAUAGUCAUUUAUGUUUAUAAUAUUACGUUUUAGUCACUUACAUUAUCGUGUUGUAACAUUUUAGUCACUGAGUCGUUAAUUAACGUUAACGAUGUCACGGUAAGCUGACGUGACACAUUAAAUCAUCAUUUCAAACAAAAAUUUUAGAUUAAAUUUUACAAUUGAUCCCUAUAUUUUUUCAUUUUGAGCAAUUUAAUUUUUUCUUUUAUGUUAUUUUAAUUUUUUUUUCCAUUCUCUUCGCUUCUCCCUUUGUUUUCCUCCCUUUUUCAAUUCUUUUAACGCAACUUUUCUACGUUUUCUAUUUGUUAAAACUAGUUCACAAGCUCACCUCACUCGAAAAAAAUUAAAUUGUUCAAAAAAAUAAAAGUAUAGGGACUAGUUUUUAACAAAUGGAAAACAUAAAAAAAUUAUGUUAAAAGAAAUGGAGAACGGAGGAAAACAGAGGGAGAAGUAGAAGAGAAUGAAAAAUAAAGGAAAAAAAAGGAAAGUUAAAAUAAUAUAAAAGGAAAAAAUUAAAUUGUUCAAAACGAAAAAAAAUGGGGAUUGAUUGUAUAAAUUAACCUAAAAUUUUUGUUUGAAAUGAUGAUUUAACGUGCGAUGUCAGCUUACAGUUACCCCGUUAACGAAAAUUAACGGCUUUGUGUCUAGAACGUAAUAUUUCAAACAUAAGCGACUAAAAUAUAACCUGAGGAAAACAAAAGUGACUAUUUUGAUAGUUUGCCAUUAUUAAAAUUAACAUUGAUUAACUUACUUUAAUUACUAUUAAUCAUAUGAGUGGAAAGUUUCAUCAUCUUCCGUUAUCUCAUAAUGCAAAAUGGUAAAUUGUCAUUUUGGACCUUGCAAUUUAAGACUCUAAAUCUUUGGCUAAUUAAAAAUCUGUAGCGAGAAUCAUUGUAGCUUAAUUAAGCAAUUAAUAGAAAAAAUUGAAGGACCAAACUUUAAUAUUCUUUUAUACUUACGGAAAUGGGAUUCCGAAAUUAUAUUUUUCGACGCCAUUAACUGUUAAGUCAUUACAGGUAGGGUAUAUAAAAUAUACAUUAUAUUUUUCUUGCAAAAAUAUAAUAAUUAAUAAUGGUAAGGUGGUGGUAAAUCUUACCUAGGUUCCUGCCCUUUGUCAUGUUGGACAGGAAACUGUUAAUUUUAUUUUUCCCUUGAUAGACACUGAAACCUGAAAGUGGAAAAACUUGUGAACUAAGUCACUGAAUUUUUCUGCAAUAACUUUUCAGCCACUUAUUUCUAGAUUUUAUCAACAUUCAUAACAAUUCCGUUAACGCAUUUGUAACUGCAAUCUUUCACGCAACCUAAUUGGUUGGGCCAAUUGAAAACACAUCAGGAUCUAAGAUUUUAUAGUUAAACAACCCCAUGAUUACCACAAAUUAAAGAAAGCAGGCAAAUAGGGAGUUUCUAAGGAUAAGCUUCAAUGACAGAUUGUAUUGCAUGAAUAGGUUCUACAUUGAAUCUGGUGAACCCUGCCUCUCCAAUAACAUACUUCCAUUCCUUCAAUGUCCUUUCUUUGCCUUUCCAUGUCUAAUAUCAACCUCACGAAAUCUAGCUGCUCUCUUUUUAUCUUCUUCCACCACCGCUUGAACUAUUAUAACCUCCCCUUUGUCUCCCGGGAUAGCUUCUCUACAUAUCUUUAGGAUUUUUAUGCAUUCCUCAUCAUCCCAGUCAUGUUACACCUUCUGCAAUUCACGAACAUACAUAUAUUUACGUUCUUAAAAGAGUGGGUUUGGUGGUAUAUUGUGGUGCUGAACCGAAGGAACCAAAUUUUUCAUUACUAACCAUUAAGAAAGCAGUGCCUGCCUUUGGGACACACUCGAACAUGUCUCCUUCUAUGUUUUCAACGCCAUCGACUUUCGCUCCAACAGCCACAACAUAAGGAAGAUCGAAGUGGAUGCCAUGAAUCCAAGGGAAUGCCUUUACCAACAUUGCUAAAACAGUCCCAUUACUUCCACCAAAAUCAACCAAACUUUUAAUGCCAUCAAACACUUGAGGACAUUCUUCGAUUAUUGCUGGCACCGCCACUAUCUUCACAAGCCACUGCUUCGUCUAUGAGUUUGCUAUGUCCAGGGUUCUUCUCUGCAUAGCUCCAUACAUCCUUCCCGUUUGCUGUCUCAAACGGUGAAUUCCCACUGUCAAGGACACGAGCACUUAGACUAUGCCAUGGUGCUAACAUAACAGGGCUGCUCUCUAGUAGAAUCAAAGUCGCCAUGUCGAAUCAAUCGACGAGACAAAAGUGAGUGCAAAACCAGUGGAAUGUUGACUGAUGAGCUCCUCUUUGAAUAUUUUGGUAGUGGACCACGUUGGAAAUAUAUAGACAUCGAUAGCCUAUAAAUAUGUUAUCACACCAAAAAUAUAUUAAAUUGAAUUGGUGGUGUUUGCGUGCAAUUUACAUUGUAAUAUAUUACAGUUUACAACGAAACACUAGUACGUAUUCUAAGGACCGUACCCAAGAGAUUGCACAUAGGAGAAAUUAUUAUUAAAUUAAUUAUAGAAAAUAAUUAUUAAUCUAAUCAAGUCAAGAAUUAGUAGUGUGAAUCCAAAUUAAUAUUUUAAUUAAAAUAAUUAAAUUAAGUAACCUAGAUUAAUCUAAUGAACUUUCCUAUUCCUAGUGUCAACAAUAUGAGCAUCUGGCCUACGAUCCAUUAAAUCCCUAAUUAUCUAAUUAAAUAAUUAUAUUAUCCUAGAUUGAGUUAUUUAUCACCCUUAGCUAAGACUACCCUCCCGGUUUAUCUUCAUUAAGGAUUACCACCUAAGUUACCCUUUUAAUCUCUUCCUAGGCAUACAGAUACUCUUUCGGGCUCUCUUGUCUCGCGGUUUGAUCAUCAUCCCUUGUAUUCUUGGACCUUAAUUGAAAUCCUACACACUUAAUUAGUCCAUGAGUCACUCACGAGGCCUGAGUCGGCCUUCGGGUCAUCAAAAUGGUAGAAAAUGUGUAAAAACAUUUAUUUUAUUAAUAUUUUAUUUCUAACCUACUAAUAUUGAAAAUGUAAUACUUAAUUAUAAAAUGCCAAGAAGACAAGCUCAUUAAGUGUAGAAAUGACCUAAAAUAACUACUACAUUUGACAUCAGGUCAAAUACCCCACACUUAAGUGUUUGGUUGCCCGAGGGCAAACUAAACAAAAAUAAAAAUAGAAACAGAGAACAAAACAAACUAAAAUCAAGAAAUAAACAUGCAAAAGAUAAAAUGUACUCGAGCUAGUAUGAUACACAGAAUUGGACAGAAAUAUAUUAAUAAAAUAAUGUAAAUAAACUAUAAUUCUAGCAUGAUACACAAUUAACUCGUAAUUUCUAAAAUUAGACGAGUUAGUUCAUUAAAUUAUAAAUCAAACAAAUACAAGAAUAUUAAAUACAAGGUUCUAUCAAAACAGAUAUACAAAUAGACAAUUAUAUUCAAAUGAAUGUAAGUGGUAAAAACAUCAAAACUCAACACAAUUUCAUCCAUAUAAGGUACUAUGUAACAACUCGUUUUCCAGUGGUGUCAGAAACAGUGGUUUUGGGACCACAAUUUUGACAUGGCAGUCCGUAAAUAUUAAUUAUUUAAUAUUUACAAAUUCAUUUGUGUUGUAUUUAAUUUUGGUUAUAAAAUUUUAUUGUUUAGGUAGUUAAUUAACUCAAAAGGAUUAAUUCAAGUUGUUUACUAUUGAAUUAUCUUAACAAAAGUUCUAAAUAAUUAAAGUAGAGGGAUUUAUUUGAAAUUAGACCAUAACAUUUUUGUAUGGACGGUUUUCGGUUACAAAUGUUAAGUUUUACAUGGUUUAAUUAAGGGCAAUAUGGUAAACAAUUAAUUAAAACAUAAACAAAUAAAGAAAAAGAGCCAUGAAAGUAGCUUGAUUGUUUGGCAUUUAGUCUCUUGUAUGUAAGCUCGUUUUUAACCUGUUUCUUGUAAAUUUUAUCUUUUUGGAAUCGUUGUAACUUAAUCUAGCUAGUUCAGGGACUAAUUUGUGAUCUUGUCAAAUGUUUAGAAAUUUACCAUUGAUGAUUUUGAAUUUUUUUUUAUGUUAGUUGAUUUUUUGGAAGCUUGGUUGUUUGAAAUAAUUAAAUUGUAAAGUGAUUUUUAUAGUAAUUUUGAGUUAAGGGACUAAAUAAGUAAAAUAUUGAAGUUGACUUGGUUUUUUUGUGAAUUUUUGAAAUUUAAGGGUUGUAAUAAAAUGAAUAAAAAUUCAGUUACAUGGAUAUAGGAUUUAAUUGUAGGAAUAAGAUUGUUUGGUCUUAGGGACCAAAUUGUAUAAAAUGUAAAAGUUUGGGGCAAAUGUGUAAAAAAUUAUAAAUAAGAAGCCACAUGUAUUAAAUUGAAUAGUUUAUGAAAUUGAGUCUAAUAAUUGAAAUUAAAUUAUAUUUUAGAUCAAGAACAAGUUGAUAAAUGAGGAAAAGAAAAAGUUAUAGAAUAGUCCUUGAACUUUUAUUAUUUCUAUAAUUUAGACCUGUUAAGUUCGUACGGUUUUAUUUUGUAUAAUUUAAAUGUUAUAUUAUUUAUGAAUUGAAAUUGUUAAAUGUCCUGAAAGGGUUGAAUUGUAUUAAGUGAAUAUGAUUUGAGAAAGUAAAUAUCUUAAGCGUUGUUAUUCGAUAAGUAAUUGAAUCGAUAAAUGUAGGUCAGAAUACAAAUGGCAUGCCAAUAGGUUAUAUUGCACACUAUUCGAAAUUGAUUGGUGUUGAUAUGAUGAUUUCUGAUUUAUUCUUGUUUAUUGAAUAUACCGAAGUUCAGCAUUUGUUGCGAACUAUCGUGUUAUAUUACAGUGAUUCAGGUGUGUUUCCAGGGGAGAAUGUAAAACCUUCGAGCUUGGCACUUAGUGUCGAGGUGUGUUUCAAAGGGAUGUUAGCCUACAAAUUGACACUUGGUGCCCAGGUGUGUUCUCAGACGGUUAGCUCAUUUGAUCGUUUUGGAGUGAUCUAGAUGGUUAACCGCGUAUCCAAAUCCGUUAUAACGUUCAUUGGACAUACUUUCUAUGGUGUAAUGUAAUUGAUUGGAUUGUAUCAUUUGCAUUUAAGCAUAUAGCUCACCCGUGAUUUGAUUGUGGUUGAUAGGAUUUUGGUUUAUUUUAUGUAUUCUGUAAUAGAUAUGUGUAUUCGGUAAGUUUAUUAUUUUAACUGUUGAACUUACUAGGCUCUAUUAUCUUAUUUCCUUAUAGAUAGCAUUUAGUAGAAAUCAAGCGAUUGGAUCAACUUGAAGAAAUCACACUAUCCAGAAAUCUUUUGGUAGUUUUUGAAUGUUCACUUUUGGUUAUAUGGCAUGUAAUAGGUGAGUUAUAAUUAUGUUGGUUACUUGUUACUUGUGAGCUUGUUAAACUUGAAUAAUAUUUGGCUUUAGAUGGAUUUUAGUACAUAAGAGUAUGUUUUUGGUUUUGGUAUGUAUAUGUUUUGAGAAUUGUUUGAUAUAUUUUAUAUAAGUCAUAUGAAAGUGUUUGAAUGUGGCAAUUUGAAUUAUAAAUUUAAUGGAACGAUGAUUUUGGUAUGAGUUGUUAAAGGUGUUUGAGAACUUUGAAUGUGAUUACUUUGGUUGGAAAGGAGAUUUUGGUUUGGUAAUUGAAUUGUGGUGUUAAUAAGGACACAUUGGUUAGACACUUAGGAUGGAUAUUUUGACAUGUUUUAGGCUUGUUAAAUAUGUUUUUAAGAUAUUAAAUUGGUUGGUAUUAAUUUGGCUUGGUACCUAAGUUUUGGAUGAAAAUGUGCCUUAUUUUACAAACUUUUUAAGGUACACAAGGCCUGGGACACAGGUUGUCACACAACUGUGUGUCACACACGGCCUGAGACACGGGUUGUCAUACAGUCGUGUGUCAUACACGGCCUACUCACAUAGUCGUGUGCCUUCUUUGUUUUUAGUGCAGGUUGGUCCACACGGGCACAGAGAGUUACACGGCCUAGCGACACAACCGUGUGACCUUGAGCUACAAGGUCAUAGUGAGUUACGCGGCUUGUCCACACGGCUAUGUGACCUUAUGUUAUAUGAGCACAGUUAGUUACACGGUUUGCAUACACAGACGUGUGGAGUAGCCACAUGGUUUGGACUCUGUCACCCGACCUAAGCACACGGCCGUGUGACCCCUGUUUUAAAACAUUUUCAAAUUUUCCAUAUUUUUUGUUUUGUUUCAAAAUAGUCCCUGAUUGAUUCCAAACUAAUUUUAGGGCCCCGUAGGCUCGGUUUAAGGCCCAUACAUGUAUUUUAUGUCUUGAUUAAAAUGAAUUAUUGAAUGUUAUUUUAUAAUUUGUAUAAUUGUUUCUAAUUGAAAUUAAAUGUUUUGAAUUGUACUCUAAUACUCUGUAACCCUAAUCUGGCGAUGAAGAUGGGUUAAGGGUUUUACAUACUACCUAAGUCACAUAGGACUUUCGGCUUGUAAUGUUCUGCGACUUAGGUUAGUUAGGAAUUCAAAGAACAUGCUCGACAAAAUAACUAAACACGAAAGUAGUUUGGCACAUUGUAUUGUUCCCUAUACUCCCCCAAUAUUCGAAUAAUCUCACCACCUACUUCUUUCACCUUCCUUAUUUCUCUAUUACUAUGGUCCCGUAUAGUAUUCACGAGUACAAUCAUCUGAGCUCAUAAUUAAUAAAAAAUGUGACCGUACUUUUUUCCAACUCACUUUACUUUUAUUUUAUUUUAUUUUAUUUUCAAGAUUUUCUCGAUUUGACAUUUAGCUUUAUUUUCUACAAGCUCAAAAUCUUAUAUUCACUAUACCAUACAAUUCCUUAGUUCACUCAUUUUUUUCUCUUUUGAAACCACAGUGAUGUAUCUACCUAAUCCCUCAAUAUCAAUGGUUGGAUUUUUAAAUCUGUGCAAGGACCAAGGAAUUAUUUAUUAGGCUUAGGGUUUCGUUUCUGGUUCAUUAAGAAAAUGGAUUCGAGCUCAAGAUAGGUACUAAGGAAAAUAUUUGCGGGAUAACUUUUUCGCUCAAAAAUUUGUCUACCAAACAAUGCUUUAGGUUGUCCUUAGGCAAUUCUAUACACAAAUUAAAUCAGUCAAGUCUAUCAAUUUCUACACCUAUAAUUCAAUUAAACAUGCAUGCUAUUUAUAUACCUAUUUAUCAUGUGGUAUACUUAGCAUCUUAAAUCUAUUUGUAGUGUAAUAAAUUGAACUAAUUAGUCUAAAAUUAGAUAAUCUAGAAUAAAUUAUUAUCACACUAAAUUUAAAUUUUAUUCACAAAAUCUUAUUAACAUGCUCGUAACCAAUCACUUGUAUUUCUACAAGUUCGAGCACAAACAAAACACACACACAAAAAAUUUAACGACUAAAAAUAUAGUAAAACUAUAAAAAUAAUAGAAAAUUUUUUAAAAUUCUAUGUCAACCCCCCACACACUUUAUUUGGCACAUUAUCCCUCAUGUGCACCAAAAAUAAUAAGGAGACGAGAUUACCCGAUUAGCUUGAUAAGUGCAACGAAAUUGGUGGGUGAUGAUCACUAAACUAACUAAAAUUACGACAAAGGCAAGCACACCUAUCGAGUAAUAAUAAUAUAGCUAUGGUGAGUAAGGAAUAUUGUAUCCACGAGGACUAAAAGUACUCGUAAUUACUGUUUUUUCUAUUAUUUUGGCGUCAAAUUGAUAAAUUUUUUUAAAUCUAAAAUUAACUAAACUUAUUUACUCAGAACACAACAGAGAAUGACUUGGGAAAAUAAUCGAAUAUAACCAAUGAGAUAGACAAUACCCAGGAAAGAAUCCACCUAGACUUCACCUAUUAUUCUGCAUCUGAAUUAAAUGAUUUAUUCACUUGUGUCUUGAUCCGUAGAAAUCCCUAAAUUAUGUUAAUAUCUCUUUCGAGAGUAAAAACAACUGACUCUAGGUUGAUUAAUUGAAAUCUCUUUCUAAUUAAAACCCCUAUUGUCGCAUUAAUUCGAUCUAUGGAUUCCCCUAUUAGAUUUGACUCUAAUCCGGUAGAUUUAUGUCAUUUUUCUAGGAUUGCAUGCAACUCUACUCAAUUAUGUUAGAUCUACUCUUAAAUAGAGACUUUGCUCCACUGAAAUAAACACAUUAAACAUGAAUUAAUAUCCUGAAAAUAUUAUAACACAAAAUAAACAUAUAUAAUUGAGAACAAGAAUCAAGUAUUUAUCAUGUAAAUCAGAAAUCAAUUAAUAAGAUUCAUCAUAAGUUUCAUCUUCCCUAGGUAUCUAGGGAAUUUAGUUCAUAAUCAGGAAUGAAAUCAUCUCAAGGUUAGGAUAACAGCAAGAAAUAAAGAAACCCAAUAAAACUUUUAAGGAAAUUGAAUGGAGAUCUUUAAUCUUGAAGGAGAUCCUCUUCUGAGUUGAAUCAGGUGGGGUUCUUCGAGUAUUUUCUUUGUUCUUCUCUACGUGCUCCCUUAAGCCUUCUUCUAAUUGUUAUUUAUAGGCUUUAGAAUGUCCAGAAAGCCUAAAAAUUUGGUUUUUCCAUAUGUUUGGGAAACAGAGUGCGAAAUUGACACGAGCUGACACAUAGGCGUGUGGCCAGCCCGUGUAGCUCACACGGGCACUUGGCCAACCCGUGUGGAAAUGCUCAGGUCGUGUGGAUGCUGAAAACAACUCAUUUUGCUCAAUUUUGGCUUAUUUUUCGCUCAUUUCGCUCCCUUAUGCUCACCUAAGUACAGAAACAUGAAUUUAAAGGAUUAGGAGCAUCAAAUUCACUAAUUUACAUAGUAAAUCAUCCAAAAAUGCAUCAAGAAUGGGAUUAAAAACAAGUUACUUUUACGACUUAUCAGUGGGACUGGCUCCUUCUAGCAGUUUUGGCUCGAAAUUGUAGUGCCUAAAAAAAAUAGGGUCCCUACACAGGAAACAAAAACAACAGAUUUUUUUUCGAUAAAUAAAAUAAAAUAAAUAAAAUACACAAAGUGAAAAAAAUUAAAUCCUAUGUACUUCCCCCAUACUUUAGAACAAACAUUGUCCCGAUAUAAAAGAAUUAAAGUGCGAACAAGAAAACUUCCUUAAAAGUGCUGAUUGUUUGUUGUCUUAAAUAAAUAAAUAAAUAAAUAAAUAACUAUAGUUGGGUUUGUGGAGAGCGGAUAAUGGAAUCGCAUGGGUUGAUUGGACAAUUAGGGCACUGAAACGCUGCAUAGCAGUCAGCUCAUCACAACAGAAUCUGCUCCCCGUCGCAAUGUUGCAAUAAAUUUUAUGCUCCCCCAAGUCAUUUCGUCAAGGUAUUUUGUGACACCCUUCAAUAGUUUCUCGACUUCAAUCAUUUUCGUUGCGACUUGGAAUCUCGAUUUUUCAUGUCUUCGAUUACAAGUUAGCCCUUUCACAUUUGGAUGCGCUGCGGCUCAUCUUGACAUGUUUAUGGUGGUUGUCAGGAUGACAUAUUCUUGUUCGUCACGAUGACGUGAUUUGUUGAUGGACUUGUUCGAUUGGCUCCUCAUAACGUGUUGCGCCAUAGGGGGUGCAUGGCGUGAAAUGACUUGGAAGUUCCCUAAACUCGUCUUUUUGUCUUUCUGAAGCAUGUUGGACUUCUUAGUUUGUGCUUAAUCACCUUAAUCCACCUUAUGAAAUCCACAACUACUGUGAGAAGCAACUAACACACAUAAUUAAAUACUUUAAAUACAAAAAAACAAACAUCAAAAAAUAAAAUUUAAAAUUAAACAAAAAUUAAAAGAGAAGUCCUUUUUUGGAGUCAGGACGAUUCGUAUCGCCCCCAAAGAAGAACUUUUAACUAGUCCUCGACUCUUUGAUCCGCUGCUUGUUCCACCGUUGAUAAAUCUCAACCAAGACUCUCAGUUGAUUCCAAUGAUAUUGCCUUAUCUUUGAUCGGCACGACAUCCACAUCAUGAGUCACUUGGUGCCGAAUUCAAACCAACCCCAAAUUGUCUUUCGAGGUAUUUUGGCUCGAGCUUCCUUCCCUCCUUGUCGCGAGAAGCUUUGGUUGCCGAAGCUUUAUCUUCACCAUCGAAUGAGAAUAAGAUAAACUUGUCGACUUCUUCGGCUGAUACCUCCUUGGUUAUGGCCAAAAAGUGUAUCGGCUCGAAUACAUUUUCAUUCAGAAUCAAUUGAAGCUCCUUUACCUCUUACUCUACCGCUACAUCUAUUACUACAUCUACGUUAAUUGGAUUGGAGACAACUUCAGUGAUAUUCAAUUUGUUUCCGUGUCCAGAUCCAAACUCUUGUUGACUUUCAAGAUUUAAUUCUUGAUGUUUAUCAGUGGUACGUUGGUCAUUCGGAUCAGAGUUGUAGACAUCAUGUACGACCUCUUCUAUUGAAGCCUUUAGUUUGUAAGUUCGUUGAAGUUGCUAGAUCAUAAACGACAUCAUAUCCUCCAAUCGUUUGGCUUUCUUAUCCAAUUUUUUGAAACAUGCGGAAAAAGUUUGCUCCAUUACUUCACACAACAAUGUUUCAUGUGAAUUUUCAGAGAAAUUAGGAACGUCAUACAUGACCUCUAAUUGAUCCAACUGUUUUUGGAUUCUCUUUGAUUUAGCUUGGAAUUCUCGCUCACAAUUUUCUUGUCCAAACGUAUAGUUAUACAAAUCACAAGGAGUUUCAGCUAGAUACUCGGAUGUCCCUAAAGGUUGCUCAUGUAUCUCUUCCAUCAUUUCAUUUCUUCAUUGAAGCAGUCCUUGCAUAAGCGAUCUUUGGUUCUCCAUGAUCUCCCAUUGAUCGUAUGCUACGUCUUCAUCCCAUAGGUUCGUCAAAUCUCCAUUCCUGCAGUACGUAUACUGCUCGGCUUUGGUGGGAGUUCAUUCGAACACUCAAGUCGCUCGUCUUUGUAAUCACAACUCCAUUGGUUUGUUCGUACACUGACCUAUAAAAAUUAAUAUUCAUAAUUAAAUCUGAUAAUCAACAAGGUAAAUAAAAAAUAUUAGAAUAAAAAUAUUUACUUAACGAAAAAAAGUCAAAAUAACUUUUUUUACACUAAAAUUAAAUUAAAUUAAAUAAAUAAAAGUUAGAACAUUAUCUAGCUUGUUUGUCUUUCGAUUAAUAUUAUUUUACAGUAAUUAAUCUAACAAAAAAUUCACCGUUGCAAUCCCCGACAACGGCACCAACAACUUGACCGCAUAUAAACAUGUUAUCCUUUAUAGUAAAAUAUCACACCAAAAAUAUAUUAAUUAAAUAUGCGGUGUCUGCAAGCGUAUGGUUCAAAUUGUAAUAGAGUAAAGUUUACAAUGAAACACUAGUAAGUAUUCCGAGGAUCGUACCCAAGGGAUUGCAGAUUAGAGAAAUUAUUAUUAAAUUAAUUAUAAAAAAUAAUUACUAAUCUAAUUGAGUCACGAAUUAGUAGUGUGGAUCCAAAUUAAUAUUUUAAUGAAACUAAUUAAAUUAACUAACCUAGAUUAACCUAGUUAACUUUCUUAUUCCUAAUAUCGACAAUGUGAGCCUUUAGCCUAUGAUCGAUUAAAUCUCUAAUUAUCUAAUUAAAUAAUUAAUUAUCCUAAAUUGUGUUAUUUAUCACUCUUAGCUAAGACUACCCUCCCGGUUCAUCUUCACUAAGGAUUACCACCUAAGUCACAAUUUUUAGUCUCUUCCUAGGCAUACAGAUACUCUUUUGGUCUCUCCGCUUGGCACAAGUUAUACACGACAAGAUACCCUUCUAGUCUCACUUGUCUCGAUAUUCUAUCAGGGGUGUCACUCAUUAAUAUACUAAGUACUAUUGAAUAAAUAACCAAUUUUGGAUAAAUAAUCAUUUAUCAAAUAAAUUAGUUUAUUAAUCGAAUCAUGCGAGAUAUAAAUAAAGUACAAUAACUUAUUUGAAUAUUUAUACAAUGACCAAUUAACCAAAUUAAUAGAAGAUAAAUAAACGAAAAGAAGAGAAGAGAUAAAAGAAUUCCCAUGAAUAUAUAUUGAUGUAUGGAUCCGGAGCAAUCUCCGCUCGCGAUUGUCUUUAUAUUGGAAUAGAAAAAUUUCGACCACAAGAACAUAAAAAGAAAACUAAAAACUGAAUAGUAAAAUUGUCUAUCUAAGUCUGCACACAAUUCUGAUAAACCUAAGGUUGCUUAUAUAAGCAUCGGGCUACUUAGUGACCACUCAACCUUAGAUAUAAUUAGAUACCAAUAAAUGUAAUAUUUUGAUAAAUGUUAGGGUCCAAAUAUGGAAAUAUCCCCACAAGUGUCGUCCAAUGAAUUAAUUUCAUUUUGGCUUGCCAUCGUCGUGUCAUCGUGACGUGGGAAGUCUCCUCGUCACGACGUCGCCACCAUGAAUGGUCUCCCAUAUUCAUCACGUCGUCGUGACGAGAGGAAGCUCCUUGUCACGACAUCGAGUGUAUUCCGAGCCUUGGCAACCUUGUUGUGCUAUCAGACUCCCUUGUAUUCUUGGACCUGAAUUAGCAUCCUACACACUUAAUUAGCUCAUGAGUCACUCAUGAGGCCCGAGUCGGCCUUACGGGUCAUCGAUAUAGCAGAAAAUGUGUAAAAAUGAUGAUUAUUUUAUUAAUAAUUUAUUUCUAAUCUACUAAUACUAAAAAUGCAAUACUUAAUUAUAAAAUGCGAAGAAAAGAAGUUCAUUUAAGUGUAGAAAUGACCUAAAAUAACUAUUACAUUUGACGUUAGGAUAGACAUCACAUAUAUAACAAUCAUAAUUAAAUGUUAUUAUUUACUAUCUUAAAAGGUUAGCCCAAACUAAAAGUGAUCUAAUUUGGUUAAUGUUUAUUAAGUUUUAUUUAUUAAAUAAAGUAUGAGUUAAAUAUGUGUAGAUAGUCUAGUAACUAAUUUUUAAUUAAUGAUGGGUUAAUUAGAAAUUAGGUUACUAUGUAAAAUAUAUUAGGGUUAUGGUCCCCAAAUUAUACAUACGUAACUUUUCUAAUAUCUCAUUUUUAGAAAAGAGGAGCCACAUACUCUGAAUUACUUGUGUGCUAAUUUGGAAUAUUAAAACCAUAAGAUCUAAAGAUUUUAAGGAAUCGAUGAAUUCAGGUACACUUCUGCAUCUAAUUUUAUUCUUGAUGAAUUUGACAUGAUAGAUCCUAAUUAAUUAAAUAUUAAAUUAGAUCUUGUUUUACAGUACUAACAAACCAAGAUGAAGACGAAACAAUUCACAUUUAAGGGCAAUUGUUAGGUGAGAGAGUGUCAUGGGGCUUUCAUGCUUGUUCCUUUCCUAUCACUUUUAUAUUUUCAUAGAAACCCCACAGUUAACUACUGCCAUCAUAGCAUAUCCAAAUGCAUAAUUCCAAAUAUCUAUAUUUUUAUUUUAUUUUUCUUUAUCAUGUUGUUCCUUUCCUAUCACUUUUAUAUUUUCCUUCUCUUUGGAAACAAUACCCAAAUCUUAAUGUUGAAAGCUCCACCAUAUAGGAGCAAAGAGUAGCCUAUUUGUGAAUUUUUAAAGAAAAGGCCAAUGAGUAGGGAUCACUUACUUUUUCUUAUGUAUAAUAUAUAAAGAAUUGUUUUGUGAUGAUCACACCAUUCGCGUUGGAAUACCUGGUUUGUACCUUGCCCACUAUGUUUUGCUCAAGCUUCUUUCCUAUUAUAAUAAUAAUUGUUUUAAUAAUUAAAUAUUACGAUAAUAAAAAAUUUUAAAGUAUAAUUAAAAUUUUAAGGGAAAUAAUAAUGAGUACAUAAUUGUUUUAAUAAUGCCCACUAUGUCCUAUGACCCCAACCCAACUAAAUACUUAAAAAUAAUAUAAAUACAUAAUUAAAAUAUAUAAAUUACUUUUUUUUCUAAAUAUAUACUAUCAAUUAUUUGGAUAGUUCAAAUAUUAUAACCAUAAAUAAUUUUAAUCAAAUUUAAAGUAUUCAUAUAAUAUUAAAAUAGAUGUAUUAUAAAUUAUUUUAUUAUAAAAACAUAUUAACCAAACUAUAAAUUUAUAUUAUAAACAUAUUAAAAUAGAUGUAUUAUAAAUUAUGCCAAAAUUUAUUAACUAAACUAUAAAGUUGAGGGCUAAAAAUGAAAUUAUGCCAAAAUUUUAUAAGCGAAUAAGCGUUUUAUAACAUUAUUAUCUUUUUUUAUAUUGGAUGUAUUUUCUAAUGAUUUUCAUUAUAAAUAUUAAUAAAAUUGAAAAUUUGAAUGCCAAAAUUUAUCACUGAAAAUUUGAAUGUUUUUUUUAAUAAAAUAAUAAAUUAUCAAUAUGUUUUUAUAAUAAAAUAAUUUAUAAUACAUCUAGUUUAAUAUUAUAUGAAUACUUUAAAUUUGAUUAAAAUUAUUUAUGGUUAUAAUAUUUGAACUAUCCAAAUAAUUGAUAGUAUAUAUUUAGAAAAAAAAGUAAUUUAUAUAUUUUAAUUAUGUAUUUAUAUUAUUUUUAAGUAUUUAAUUGAGUUGGUGUCAUAGGACAUAGUGGGUAUUAUUAAAACAAUUAUGUACUCAUUAUUAUUUCCCUUAAAAUUUUAAUUAUACUUUAAAAUUUUUUAUUAUCGUAAUAUUUAAUUAUUAAAACAAUUAUUAUUAUAAUAGGAAAGAAGCUUGAGCAAAACAUAGUGGGUAAGUCCAACGUGAAUGGUGUGAUCAUCACAAAACAAUCAUAUAGCCUUUUCUUACUUUUUCUUACAUUUUGAACUGGAUUUGAAAAAUUCUAAUACAAGCACAAAACAGAAAUUUAAACCACGCGAUGCUCCGAUAUCUACACAUGUUCCAAAAUAAAGGAUUUCAUGCUCACGCAAGGCUUUGGAGGUUCUGGCUUAGUUCCUUAAUUUCCUACGAACAACAAUUUGGAAUUAUCUAAAAUGAGGAAAAGAAAUAUGGUAAGUUCAUAAGGAACUUAGGGUGAGUUUGGAUGGGCAAUGCGUUUACCUGAGGUUAGUGUAAAAAUAGCGGUAGCGGUGAAAUUAGAUACUAUUACAAUACUGUAACAUGAGACAAAAAGUAAGCUAGACACACUGCACCGCACCCAAUCACCCCUCCAAACCCACCCUUAGUGAGUUCUAAAUUAAGUUACUUCAAUUUUAGGAUUCGACACAGAUCUUUCUUAGUGAAAACUUCUGAGAUGAUAUUCCACAACUUAUAAUUGAGCAUGAACCACAUAAUGGCGCAGUACAAUAUGCAUGAGAAAUCCACCUGUGAAAGAUCGUGAGGCAUAUAGUCUCUUCGUACAGACUUGUUGCAUAAAAUCUUAAUAUAAACCCACUGAAUGGAAAGAAAGUCAUUUUGGAUUAACUUGAUGGGCAAUCUUGCCUACUCUUAUAUACAGACUCAUACACGCGAACUCAUAGAAAAGAUUCAUGGAUACAACGGCUUAUACAUGCGAAUUCAUAGAAGAGAAUUCACAAUAUGGCGAACUCAAACAUGCAUACUCGUAUAGAAAGAUUCAUGAAUAUAGCAGUCUAUUCAUGCGAAUUCAUAAAAGAAACUUCAUAGAUAAAGCAAAUUUAAACAUGUGGAUUCAGAGAACUUCACAAUUAUAGUGAAUUCGUACAAGCAGACUUUUUCGCAGAGUUUCUUUGGCAAAAUCUAACAUAUAAUUUUAACUUAAAACUUAUCAAUUAAAUCUGCCAGACUUUCAUAACUUUCAUAUGCCAUGGCCAUGGACUUGUUUACACAUGUGAGGCUUAAAAGCAUUUGACUCCAUAGAGUCUCAUACGUACAUAGAACCCACAUUAGGUUAUCAAAUUCAUUUGUGCAUACAUUUCCGUACAAUCCAUCCAAACCUUCGCAAAGCCGAAAACCAUACAUAUACAUUCUUUGUACUAUCCACCCGAACUCCGCAAAGCCAGAUAGCAAGUGGCACAAAGUGCACUGUGUGAUAUUUCUUCACCUUUCAUCUGCCAAAAUAGACCUCCACACUUCGCAUAUUAUUCAUAAUUAUGAUAGGCAUAUAGCAAGCAUUCAACUAAUCAUUUUAUUGAAAACACAACAUAUCAUACCAAACAUAACAUCUAGUAGACCAUAACAAUUAUAACUUCAUCAAUAAUUAUUUUUCCCAGUGAAAGUUUAUCAAACAAUGAACUGGAAAGUAUAAUCGAACAUGCAACCAUAAAAAAAUACUUUAUAUAAACUAUCCACGAUAAUACAACUCAUCAUCAACAGAACAUGAAGUCGACCACAACAUGAAGUCAACCACAACAUGAAAACACAAUACUGUUAUAUAUAUAUGUAACAACCACAGAGAGUUAAAGUUUAGAAACCCCCCAACAAAAUACCUAGGUUGACACAACUUACACUUGCUUAGCCUUCCCUUUAUCACUUGAACUUCCUCUUUCUUGGUUGGAAGAUUACUAAGUUUUCAAGUAUUUAUGCUAACACCUUAGAUUUUUCCUUUCAUGCAACUCGUUUCUUAGUUUUCCUCUCUUAGAAAAUGAACUAGAGAAGAAGACGAUAGAAGAACGAGAGAAAAAUGAAUAUCAACAUUAAGAAUCCUUCUUAUAUAUAGUCUUUCCACCACUGCUUCCCUUAAUCCCAAGUCGGUCAAUAGUAUUAAUACCCUUAAUCAUAAUGUUUUCCACUAACAUAAACUCUUAGUUCUAGCUUGACAGGACUAAAUUUAAAAUCUAAGUAUUUACCCAACCAGCCCGUAAGAUUCACAUAAUUACACUAGAACUCGCUUAAAUAGAAAAUUUUCUAAUUAAGUACUCAUAAUUUCAAUUAUGCCAAACCUUUAAUAUUUAUGGUUGUGACAAUUAUACUAAGUUGGAUAAGAUCAGUUGGACCAGGAAUCGGUCGGGGUUUCGAUCAAGUAAAAGGUAAAAAAAUUAGUUGAUCCGUGAACCAUUAUAGAUUUGUUGAGUUGGGCUAAAAAACUAGUUGAACUAGAAAUUGAAUCGGUUUUUUUAAUUUUUAUAUCUUUUUUAUAAUUUAUUUACUUUUAGCCAGUUAGACCGAUUAUUUUGGGAACCGAUUGGUCAAACUAGUUUGAAAUCAGUUCAAUUGCUAGUUCAAUCGAUUUUUUUUAGCUCGGUUUAACUAGUUUGUAUCAGUUCACAGGUCAACUAAUUUUUUACCUCUCACUGAAUCGAUACCCCAAUUAGUUCUAGGUCCAAUUGGUUUGAUUGGUCGAUCUGGUCUGGUUUAGGUAACAUUGAAUUUUAGAUUUUUUAUAUUUUAAAAUCAUUUUUUAAUUUAUAGAGUUUUUAUUUUAAAAAUAUAUAUAAUUUUAAAUUUUUUAUGGUUUUUUAAAUGUGAAACAAUAAUUUUUAAAUUUUUUAUGUAAAUUUAAAGGGUAAGGACUAAAUUGACAAAAACUGUAAAUAUUGAGGGCUAAAAUAAUUAGUUUACCUUUAAAGUCAUUAACUUUAAUGAAAAAUUUAGCCUGAGGGGCCAGGAUUUUUAAAUAAAAAAGUAUAGGAACUCAAUUUCUCAAAAUUAAAGUAUAGGCACUAAACUUUAAAUUUCAAAAGAGUACUUGGACCUUUUACAUAUUUAAACCUAAAAUGAUUUUUGUAAUAAAUUGAAAAAUAUAAAAGUAUUAAAUAAUGGUUUGGUUGAAGAGGUAUUAAAAUAAUGGUUUGGUUGAAGAGGUAAAGGAAAAAAAAAGAUAUUGGUGGCAUGGGUUAAAAUAUUAACAUUUGCAACAUUUUUAUUAGUUUUUUUAAUAAGAAAAAGAAAAAAGUACCAUCAUAAUAAUAUAACUUAUUUAAAAUAUUAGUGUUUAGUUAUUUUUUUAGUUAUAUUUUUACUAAAUUAGUUUCUAGUUAAGUCGUUACACCAACUCGUUUAGUAUCAACUAGUGUUGUUUGAAUCGGACCAGACCGACAGGGAGACCUGUUUAGAAAGUGCUUUGAACUGGUUAGACUAAGAAACAGUAUAAAUUGAUUGAACCGGCUAAAAAGGUGGUUGAACCGACGGUUGGUUUGAUAAAUUUGACUGCAGGUCAGGGUUAAAAAACAUUGAUACUGAUAUCAUUGUCAAAUCAUGAAUACCUUAAUUCGAGAGUGUUGAUUAAAAGUUAGAAGGGAAUAUAAAUACUAUGUUUCUUUAGCUUCUUAUUUGUCUCUUUAUUUGGGGGGAGCGGGGACAUUAGAGAAUUAUAUAAAGAUUGAAGUCAAUUAAAGGGAACAACCAGUGCAAGCCAAACUAGUAAUUAACAGAAGGAAAAACAAAAUUACAUAUUUCCCACAACAGAUCUCAUAUGGUUUGGCCAAUAAAAGACCCGACAGGAUUCAAGGUUUAAUAGUAAAAGAAGCCAUUUAUUAACCCAAAGUUAAAAGAAGCAGGCAAGGUGGAAUUUCUAAAUAUAAGCUUCAAUGAUAGAUUGAACAGCAUGAAUAGGUUUUACAUUGAUUCUGGUGAAUCCAGCCUCUCCAAGAACAUACUUCCAUUCCUUUAAGGUCCUUUCUUUGCCUUUGUUAGUAUGUGCCAUCAUCACCAU